RNAcentral lists this non-coding RNA (148 nucleotides) under Gorilla gorilla gorilla (western lowland gorilla). The record is from Rfam by way of RNAcentral. Lineage: Eukaryota; Metazoa; Chordata; Mammalia; Primates; Hominidae.
GCCGGGUGUGGUGGUGUGUGCCUGUAAUCCCAGCUACUUGGGAGGCUGAGGCAGGAGAAUUGCUUGAACCCAGGAGGUGGAGGCUGCAGUGAGCCGAGAUCACAUUACUGCACUCCAGCCUGGGUGACAGAGCAAGACUCUGUCUCAA